CUACAUUAGAUACCCGUGUAGUCCCAGCCGUAAACUAUGCUCGCUAGGUGUCAGGCAUGGCGCGACCGUGUCUGGUGCCGCAGGGAAGCCGUGAAGCGAGCCACCUGGGAAGUACGGCCGCAAGGCUGAAACUUAAAGGAAUUGGCGGGGGAGCACCGCAACGGGAGGAGCGUGCGGUUUAAUUGGAUUCAACGCCGAAAAACUCACCAGCAGCGACUGUUACAUGAAAGUCAGGUUGAUGACCUUACUAGAUUUUCAG
This 259-nucleotide ribosomal RNA is filed under the name uncultured archaeon. RNAcentral's name for it is "partial 16S ribosomal RNA". It matches the Rfam family "Archaeal small subunit ribosomal RNA", at positions 722 to 982 of the family's 1478-position model. The record is from RNAcentral.